AAACACGAGAGUUUGAUCCUGGCUCAGGAUGAACGCUGGCGGCGUGCCUAACACAUGCAAGUCGAGCGGGGUUUUACAAGAGAAACUCUUCGGAGA
RNAcentral lists this ribosomal RNA (96 nucleotides) under Candidatus Epulonipiscium sp. Its description in RNAcentral is "partial 16S ribosomal RNA". It matches the Rfam family "Bacterial small subunit ribosomal RNA", at positions 1 to 101 of the family's 1533-position model. The record is from RNAcentral. Lineage: Bacteria; Bacillati; Bacillota; Clostridia; Lachnospirales; Lachnospiraceae.